This 3212-nucleotide long non-coding RNA is filed under the name Brassica napus (rape). Its description in RNAcentral is "long non-coding RNA (BNAP_LNC002395)". The record is from RNAcentral. Lineage: Eukaryota; Viridiplantae; Streptophyta; Magnoliopsida; Brassicales; Brassicaceae.
UCAAUUUUGAGCCUCCUUUUUAACAUUUUCACCAACCACAAAAAAAAACUAGCCUCCCACCGAGUAAUCGUUAAGCGCCUCUGUGAAGUGCGAAAUGGAACCUCCGAAGGACCAACACACGCCUGAGAAAUCAUCCACCGACCCACCUUCAUCCGCCUACCCUCCCUCCGGUUGCUGCACUAACUGCGGCGGUCCAACGAUCUCCGAACCUUCACCUCUAGCAUCACUUCCCGAGAUGUCACCGCCCCCAAACUACCGCCCAAUCCGAGCUCCAGCCAUCAACCUCCCUCACAACUCCCAAGCGAUCAUCCUCUCCCCCGUCCCUCACGCCGAGCAAGUCCCCGUCCUCUCUCCGCCGUACCAAUUCGAGCGUCCCGUCAAGAGAAUCCACUCCCCGGACGAUAUCCGCCGCUUCCAGGAAUCCCCCUCUUUCAAGAACUUCUUAGGAUUCGUAGUCUCUCUCUCCGAAUCGAUCCGCGGACACAAAAUCUCCGACCCUUGCCUCGUCUCCACCGCAACGAACCCCUUUGGUAAUGGUUAUUACCAGGGCCCACAAAACGCACCGCUUGAAGCUGCGUCCGCGUGUCCUGGUGUUUAUGGGAAAGGAGCUUAUCCUGGUUACGCUGGAAAUUUACUUGUCGAUGCUACGACGGGAGGUAGUUUUAAUGCGUAUGGUGCAAACGGCAGGAAGUUCUUGCUACCUGCGUUGUAUGAUCCUACAACGUCGGAUUGCUCUACUAUGGUUUGAGGAAGAAAAAAUAUGUUUAAUGUUUCAUCUUUUUGUUUUGUAGUAGAAAACGAUACUAUUAUUCUAGUGUAAUUCUUUUAUUUUAUUCAUUAAUAUUAUUCUGAGUUCUCUUAUUGUUGUAUGAUUUUCAUAUUUUUAUAUGCAAAUUAUUCAAAAUCGAAAAGACUUCUAUUUUGUUAGUUAUAUUCCUUGUUCGAAACUUGCUAGGCAGAAAUAUGAGUACAAAAGUGACGUCCAAGCCUAGAAGGUUUAUAUAUUGAAACAUGAAAUCGUGCCAAAUGUGUAUCUUGUAAUGGUUUUAAUUUUUUGAUGUGCUAUGAUUUGUGUAGAGCUUUGAAUCAGUUUAACGUUGUUUUAGACGUAUUCCAAUCUAAAUUAUUUUAGCCUGGACUUAACGAAACAAUUGUAGCAAAAAAACAUUUAACUAACUAAACAAAAACAAUGUAACUAAAGAAGUAAAAAUGAAAAAACAAUGGAUAGUAUAAACACAUAAUUUAAUUGUAGUAUAAACACAUAAUUUAAUUGUAAGCAGCCAAACCAAAGAUAGAACCAAGAAAUUGCAACAACUUCAACAAAAAAGGGAGAGUGGUUGAUUAAUAAUGAGAAAGUCUUUUCGGUGGUUUCCCAACUUCGACGAGUGUAAUCGCGUGAUGGUCAUGUGAUCAUUUUGGAAUUUGGAUGCCUUAGUUGGCGGUGAUCGGUAGGGACGGUUUGGUAACGUACGCGGUUCUGGUCUCCUGCCAACAUUUUCAAUUUCUAAUUUUCUAUUAUCAAAAUCUUUGUCCCACACUUAUUUAUUAGGGUGAAUUGGUUUAAAACCCUAAAAAAAUGAAAAUAUCUAUGAUGUGGCUAGUUUGUGUCUAUGAAAAAAAGUAUCGCAUUGUGGAAUUUAGGGAGAGUAUUUGGUUAAUUAGGAUAAAAGUCUAUGGAGUGCAAUUUUCCUAUUUAUAUUUAUUAUCCUUGUAAUGUAAAGAUAGGGCAGCAUCGUGCACUACCUAGGCUUGGACUCAAACCGGACAUUUGGUUUAUUUGCCCUACCCGCUACCUGACUUGUUUUGUGUAAGUAUUAGAAGUUUUUAUUUGUACUUGUACUUGAUCCAAUAAGUACUUAGUUAAUUAAAGGGAAAUCACAUUUUAGGUACUUGUUUAAAUACUUGCAAAUUACUUAAUAAUAUUUGAUAUUUAUUUAUUUAAAUUAACUUUAAAAUUAAAUAUCCUAAAACUUAUAAGCAUGGUUUUUUUGUCAACUUUUUCUUAUAAACCCAAAUGGGUAAACGAGUAGAAGUACAAACUAAAACCCAUAUAAAAGCCCAAUAUUAUCUUGAUACAGAAAGAUACAAACAUGUGUUAAGACAGAUGAAACUUAGACUUUAUCCAAAACAACACAUGCAGAGUCUAUGGUAGAAAUUUAUAUUUACUCUUUAAUAAAAAAAAUUUUGUCAUUUUUUUUUAUGGUUCUAUGAAAACAAACUAAAAAAACAAUCCUAGAAAAUUUCUCUAUUUUCAAAAUACAUAAUUAUUUAAAUAUAUAAUAAACAAUUUUUAUUAUUAUUUUGAAUAAUAUGUUUUUGAAUUUGAUUUUUUUUAACUUUUUCAAAAAAUAAUAUUUAAAAAUCCAAAAAAUUCUUGUUGAAACUAUUUUUAGAAUUUUCUUAUUUUUUUUUAUAUUUUCUAAGAUUUACUUUUUAUUCUUAAAAAAUCUUUAUCCCAUCGCCAAACCCCGCAAAUUAUUUUUAUAACAAAAAAUUUAAAAAAUUUAUUUAAAAAAAUUAUCCUUUGAUCUUUAUAAACUAUAGUUAUAUUAAUUUUUUCUUAAGAUUAUCCUAAUCUUUUUAUUGUCAUUGCUACUAAUUUUCCAUGUUAAAACCCAAGAUCAAUGUUUUAAUUAAACUAUUGUGAAACCUUAAAUUAUGAAAUAUUAAUAUUAUGUUAAGAACUAAUAUAAGUUUUUCAAAUUAUAAAACAUUAAAACUUAGUUUCGUAAUAACGAAAAAUUCAAUAGGUUUUUCUACCAGUAAGUUAUGUAUGCCAUCUCAAUUUUGAGCCUCCUUUUUAACAUUUUCACCAACCACAAAAAAAAACUAGCCUCCCACCGAGUAAUCGUUAAGCGCCUCUGUGAAGUGCGAAAUGGAACCUCCGAAGGACCAACACACGCCUGAGAAAUCAUCCACCGACCCACCUUCAUCCGCCUACCCUCCCUCCGGUUGCUGCACUAACUGCGGCGGUCCAACGAUCUCCGAACCUUCACCUCUAGCAUCACUUCCCGAGAUGUCACCGCCCCCAAACUACCGCCCAAUCCGAGCUCCAGCCAUCAACCUCCCUCACAACUCCCAAGCGAUCAUCCUCUCCCCCGUCCCUCACGCCGAGCAAGUCCCCGUCCUCUCUCCGCCGUACCAAUUCGAGCGUCCCGUCAAGAGAAUCCACUCCCCGGACGAUAUCCGCCGCUUCCAGGAAUCCCCCUCUU